UGAACGCUGGCGGCAGGCCUAACACAUGCAAGUCGAACGGUAACAGGAAGCAGCUUGCUGCUUCGCUGACGAGUGGCGGACGGGUGAGUAAUGUCUGGGAAGCUGCCUGAUGGAGGGGGAUAACUACUGGAAACGGUAGCUAAUACCGCAUAAUGUCGCAAGACCAAAGAGGGGGACCUUCGGGCCUCUUGCCAUCGGAUGUGCCCAGAUGGGAUUAGCUUGUUGGUGGGGUAACGGCUCACCAAGGCGACGAUCCCUAGCUGGUCUGAGAGGAUGACCAGCCACACUGGAACUGAGACACGGUCCAGACUCCUACGGGAGGCAGCAGUGGGGAAUAUUGCACAAUGGGCGCAAGCCUGAUGCAGCCAUGCCGCGUGUAUGAAGAAGGCCUUCGGGUUGUAAAGUACUUUCAGCGGGGAGGAAGGGAGUAAAGUUAAUACCUUUGCUCAUUGACGUUACCCGCAGAAGAAGCACCGGCUAACUCCGUG
This 488-nucleotide ribosomal RNA is filed under the name uncultured bacterium. Its description in RNAcentral is "partial 16S ribosomal RNA". It matches the Rfam family "Bacterial small subunit ribosomal RNA", at positions 30 to 507 of the family's 1533-position model. The record is from RNAcentral.